Molecule: unclassified non-coding RNA, 345 nt
Filed under: soil metagenome
Description: partial contains 5.8S ribosomal RNA, internal transcribed spacer 2, and large subunit ribosomal RNA
Rfam family: 5.8S ribosomal RNA (bases 1-121)
Source: RNAcentral
GAUGAAGAACGCAGCGAAAUGCGAUAAGUAAUGCGAAUUGCAGAAUUUCCGUGAGUCAUCGAAUCUUUGAACGCACAUUGCGCCCACUGGUAUUCCGGUGGGCAUGCCUGUUCGAGCGUCAUUAUCCUCCCUCAAACCCCGGGUUUGGUGUUGGACCCAAGUUGUGUGAACAACUGGUCUCAAAGACAAUGACGGCGUCCGUGGGACCCUCGGUGCAACGAGCUUUUAGGAGCACGCAUCGAGUUGCAAGGACCUUCCGGGCCGGUCUCCUUUACCAUUUUACAAGGUUGACCUCGGAUCAGGUAGGAAUACCCGCUGAACUUAAGCAUAUCAAUAAGCGCAGGA